CACUCAUGACGAGGGUGCGAGGGACUUGGCCCGAUGACCACCCGGCAACCUGUGCAGGCGAGACGCCGUCAGCCAGCACAACGGUGCCAACCAGCCGCGACGGGAACGCGGGAACAUGAGGC
Molecule: non-coding RNA, 122 nt
Filed under: Nitratidesulfovibrio vulgaris
Lineage: Bacteria; Pseudomonadati; Thermodesulfobacteriota; Desulfovibrionia; Desulfovibrionales; Desulfovibrionaceae
Also listed under: 1 other name
Description: Desulfovibrio vulgaris SAM-I sequence
Rfam family: SAM riboswitch aptamer (S box leader)
About the family: The SAM riboswitch is found upstream of a number of genes which code for proteins involved in methionine or cysteine biosynthesis in Gram-positive bacteria. The SAM riboswitch acts at the level of transcription termination control. The predicted structure consists of a complex stem-loop region followed by a single stem loop terminator region.
Source: RNAcentral